GGGAAUAUUGGGCAAUGGGCGCAAGCCUGACCCAGCAACGCCGCGUGAAGGAAGAAGGCCCUCGGGUUGUAAACUUCUUUUGUCAGGGACGAAGCAAGUGACGGUACCUGACGAAUAAGCCACGGCUAACUACGUGCCAGCAGCCGCGGUAAUACGUAGGUGGCAAGCGUUAUCCGGAUUUACUGGGUGUAAAGGGCGUGUAGGCGGGGAAGCAAGUCAGAUGUGAAAUUCCAGGGCUCAACCCUGGAACUGCAUUUGAAACUGUUUUUCUUGAGUGAUGGAGAGGCAGGCGGAAUUCCGUGUGUAGCGGUGAAAUGCGUAGAUAUACGGAGGAACACCAGUGGCGAAGGCGGCCUGCUGGACAUUAACUGACGCUGAGGCGCGAAAGCGUGGGGAGCAAACA
This 403-nucleotide ribosomal RNA is filed under the name uncultured bacterium. Its description in RNAcentral is "bacterial SSU rRNA". It matches the Rfam family "Bacterial small subunit ribosomal RNA", at positions 357 to 774 of the family's 1533-position model. The record is from RNAcentral.